Molecule: ribosomal RNA, 262 nt
Filed under: uncultured Eubacteriales bacterium
Lineage: Bacteria; Bacillati; Bacillota; Clostridia; Eubacteriales
Description: uncultured Clostridiales bacterium partial 16S ribosomal RNA
Rfam family: Bacterial small subunit ribosomal RNA
Source: RNAcentral
UUGCUUCUUUCAAAUCUAGUGGCAAACGGGUGAGUAACACGUAAACAACCUGCCUUCAGGAUGGGGACAACAGACGGAAACGACUGCUAAUACCGCAUGACACAUCGGAGUCGCAUGGCUCUGAUGUCAAAGAUUUAUCGCUGAAAGAUGGCCUCGCGUCUGAUUAGCUAGUUGGUGAGGUAAUGGCCCACCAAGGCGACGAUCAGUAGCCGGACUGAGAGGUUGAACGGCCACAUUGGGACUGAGAUACGGCCCAAACUCC